This 227-nucleotide unclassified non-coding RNA is filed under the name Hevea brasiliensis (rubber tree). The record is from RNAcentral. Lineage: Eukaryota; Viridiplantae; Streptophyta; Magnoliopsida; Malpighiales; Euphorbiaceae.
GUUUGGACAAGCCUCCUUCACUGUUCCGUAGAACAGCUCUAAAGAUGGGAUUGAAAGAUAUUCCUGGCAUCCGAAUACGUAAGUAGCUCGGAAUUUUUGAUCUUACGUUUAAAGAGAUUAUAUGAUGUUAGAGGACAGUAGUAGCAUCCACAGUUCUGGUGAACUGAACGUGCAUUGAUUUGGCGUCAGGAAAAAACAUUAGUUCCGCUGAUUAGCGCCUAAUGGAA